RNAcentral lists this ribosomal RNA (594 nucleotides) under uncultured bacterium. RNAcentral's name for it is "bacterial SSU rRNA". The stretch from base 1 to 526 matches the Rfam family "Bacterial small subunit ribosomal RNA", at positions 338 to 873 of the family's 1533-position model. The record is from RNAcentral.
CCUACGGGAGGCAGCAGUGGGGAAUAUUGGGCAAUGGAGGAAACUCUGACCCAGCGACGCCGCGUGCGGGAUGAAGGCCUUCGGGUUGUAAACCGCUUUCAGUAGGGAAGAAGCGAAAGUGACGGUACCUACAAAAGAAGCACCGGCUAACUAUGUGCCAGCAGCCGCGGUAAUACAUAGGGUGCAAGCGUUGUCCGGAAUUAUUGGGCGUAAAGAGCUCGUAGGUCGUUUGUUACGUCGGAUGUGAAAACCUGAGGCUCAACCUCAGGCCUGCAUUCGAUACGGGCAAACUAGAGUUUGGUAGGGGAGACUGGAAUUCCUGGUGUAGCGGUGGAAUGCGCAGAUAUCAGGAGGAACACCAAUGGCGAAAGGCAGGUCUCUGGGCCAAAUACUGACACUGAGGAGCGAAAGUCUGGGGAGCGAACAGGAUUAGAUACCCUGGUAGUCCAGACCGUAAACGGUGGGCACUAGUUGUGGGAACCUUCCACGGUUUCUGCGACGCAGCUAACGCAUUAAGUGCCCCGCCUGGGGNGAGANCGCANAUAAACUAACAAGAAGUAGAGCGNGAGAGNGCGACGACGACGACGAGGAGAG